Molecule: ribosomal RNA, 344 nt
Filed under: Pseudomonas sp.
Lineage: Bacteria; Pseudomonadati; Pseudomonadota; Gammaproteobacteria; Pseudomonadales; Pseudomonadaceae
Description: bacterial SSU rRNA
Rfam family: Bacterial small subunit ribosomal RNA
Source: RNAcentral
UUUACUGGAGGAAGGUGGGGAUGACGUCAAGUCAUCAUGGCCCUUACGGCCUGGGCUACACACGUGCUACAAUGGUCGGUACAAAGGGUUGCCAAGCCGCGAGGUGGAGCUAAUCCCAUAAAACCGAUCGUAGUCCGGAUCGCAGUCUGCAACUCGACUGCGGGAAGUCGGAAUCGCUAGUAAUCGCGAAUCAGAAUGUCGCGGUGAAUACGUUCCCGGGCCUUGUACACACCGCCCGUCACACCAUGGGAGUGGGUUGCACCAAAAGUAGCUAGUCUAACCUUCGGGAGGACGGUUACCACGGUGUGAUUCAUGACUGGGGUGAAGACGAACAUAGGGYUUGU